RNAcentral lists this ribosomal RNA (275 nucleotides) under uncultured prokaryote. Its description in RNAcentral is "partial 16S ribosomal RNA". It matches the Rfam family "Bacterial small subunit ribosomal RNA", at positions 524 to 792 of the family's 1533-position model. The record is from RNAcentral.
UACGUAGGUGGCGAGCGUUGUCCGGAUUUACUGGGCGUAAAAGGGAGCGUAGGCGGACGUUUUAAGUGAGAUGUGAAAUAACCCGGGCUCAACUUGGGUGCUGCAUUUCAAACUGGAAGUCUAGAGUUGCAGGAGAGGAGAAUGGAAUUCCUAGUGUAGCGGUGAAAUGCGUAGAGAUUAGGAAGAACACCAGUGGCGAAGGCGAUUUCCUGGACUGUAACUGACGCUGAGGCUCGAAAGCGUGGGGAGCAAACAGGAUUAGGAUACCCCCGGUA